AACGAACGCUGGCGGCAUGCCUAACACAUGCAAGUCGAACGAGACCUUCGGGUCUAGUGGCGCACGGGUGCGUCACGCGUGGGAACCUGCCCUUAGGUUCGGCAUAACUCCCCGACAGGGGUGCUAAUACCGGAUAAUGUCUUCGGACCAAAGAUUUAUCGCCUUUGGAUGGUCCCGCGUUGGAUUAGCUAGUUGGUAGGGUAAAAGCCUACCAAGGCGAGGAUCCAUAGCUGGUCUGAGAGGCUGGUCAGCCACACUGGGACUGAGACACGGCCGAGACUCUUACGCGAGGCAGCAGUGGGGAAUAGUGGAAAGCCGGGGAAAGCAUGAUGCAGCAAGGCCGCGAGAGUGAUGAUGGCAUUAGAGAUGAUAAGCGCUUUUACCCGGGAUGAUCAUGACAGUACCGGGAGAAUAAGCCCCGGCUAACUCCGUG
RNAcentral lists this ribosomal RNA (433 nucleotides) under uncultured bacterium. RNAcentral's name for it is "partial 16S ribosomal RNA". It matches the Rfam family "Bacterial small subunit ribosomal RNA", at positions 29 to 507 of the family's 1533-position model. The record is from RNAcentral.